UACGUAGGGGGCAAGCGUUGUCCGGAUUUACUGGGCGUAAAGCGCGUGUAGGCGGAGCGUUAAGUCUGGCUUGAAAGCCCCCGGCUCAACCGGGGAGAGUGGCUGGAAACUGGCGUUCUUGAGGGCGACAGAGGAGUGUGGAAUUCACAGUGUAGCGGUGAAAUGCGUAGAUAUCUGGAGGAACACCGGUGGCGAAGGCGGCGUUCUGGACUGCAACUGACACUGAGAGACGAAAGCCAGGGGAGCAAACGGG
This 253-nucleotide ribosomal RNA is filed under the name uncultured bacterium. Its description in RNAcentral is "partial 16S ribosomal RNA". It matches the Rfam family "Bacterial small subunit ribosomal RNA", at positions 524 to 776 of the family's 1533-position model. The record is from RNAcentral.